GUCAGCUAAAACUGCCGAGGGAUCUCGUUUGCUUGUUUUCGAAAGUUAGGGGAUGGGUCGUACCCGGUUUUGUAGUCAAGGAUGAAAAUCGGAUUACGUGACGAAUAGAGGGACCCAAAGUGAAUCCCAGCCAAACCGUGUCACAUCUAAUCCUACUCCCAACUCGACAUAAGUUAUCAGAAAAUGAGAGAUGGGCCGGGCCCUAAUGAGCUAUACGAGCAGGCCGAUAAACGGGCCGUAAGUGGGCCGAGGUUACAAAAUAUGCGGGCCCGAACGGAAUUCCCUCCUCUCUCGUUCUUUUCCGGUUCCUUCUUUUCCCCGACGCAGCGGCCGCGUGGGGUGGUGACAUGGGCGGCGGCGGCGACGAAAGGGGAGAGUGGGAGGCGGCGGUGAGGGAGGAGGUGGGGGUCGGCGGGUGGUGGGACGAUCCCGACGGCGACGAGCUCCGCGCCAGGUUCAAGGCCUUCACGGGGCAGCGCCGCGACUGGCCCCAGCCCAAGCUCCUCUUCUGGAAGGGCCUCCUCCUCCGCGUCGCGCGCCGCCUCCGCCUCUGCUCCGCCCCCGCGCGCCUCGUGCUGGGUGUUUGGUUCGCGCGCCCUGGUGGCCUCACGCCGCUGUGCUUGCCGCAGGUUCUGGAAGAGAUGCGUGCCGAUGGGGAGAUUCUGCUCAAAUCGGAGCUAAUCGAUCCGACUACAGGGAGCUUGUAUCAGCUAGUCAGGAGGAUGAGCCAGAUGGCUGUCAUCUCAAAGCAGCCGAUUGCGCAGGACGACAUCCUCGUGUUUAAAUCGUUGAUUGAGGAACGGGCUGCUGAAAUUGUUGAUCAGCUGAGGAACUCUCAUUGGACGUCAACGUGCAUUGUUACUAUUAGUAAAUUCAAUGCCUUCUUCCAUGGGCAGGAGGAUUCUCAUGUUGCAUUAUGUUACUUGACACAAUGUGGGAAAGCACGGUAUAUUGUUGAUAGGAGGCAAGAUUCUGUUGAGGGUGUGAAGUUUUCGCUCAUGGCUGCACAAGUUCCUGCUGUCUCAAAGCUUGACCACAACACAUUGCACUUAAUUUUGACGGAAGAAAAGUUGCAGCAGCAGCUUGAUGUACUUGAUCGCCAAUGGCAAAUUUCAAGAAGGAGGGCAUUGGUAUCCUUCAAAUCUGGGGAUAAACAGUCAGCUUAUCGAUAUGUGCGGCAGUCUAAGUUGUUCUCAGAAAGCAGGAAAAGAUUCACACCACUGCUGGAGAGGGUUGAAGAAGUUAUAAGCCUAAUUGCUAGUGCUGAAACAACUAAGAAGGUUAAUGAGGCAAUCAAAGUCAGUAUUCAGGCGAUGAAUGAGCAUCAUGUGAGCGUAGAGGAGGUUAACGAGCACCUAAAGGAGGUUGAUGACCUUGUUGCAACACAAAGAGAAAUUGAUGCUGCCUUAGGAUCAGUAAUACUCCAGUCAAUGGAUUCUGAAGAAAAUAUCGAGGAAGAAUUCAUGAAGCUGGAAGCAGAAUUGCAGGAUGAGUUUCCUCACGUUCAAGAAGAUCCAGUUUCACAUGCCAAUGAAGAAUUUCCUAAUGAUGAAGAUGUUGAUUCAUUGAGCAAUAACCUUUCAAACAUUAAACUCGAGGCCAUCUAGAUUUUCACUUAUUAAGUGCUACUUGUACAUAUCGUGAUCUAGUCACAUCUUUUGCCCCAUCAGUUCAGACCUUAUUAUUUCAUGAAGUGUGCUUAUUAUAAUGACAUAGCCAUAUUAUGUGUCAGCUCAUCUGAUCAUUGUUGCAAUAUGAAGGGUGGCUGCGAAGUAUGGAAGGACCUUAAUUCUUAACUAUGGAAUUGAUUGGUCAGUAAAUUGUUUUUCUCUGCGCGAUACUGACAUACGAGAAAUGGCUUGCUCCUUUACAAGAAAGGCCAGCAAUUGUAAAUGUAGAGGCACUGAAGAAUCUGUCUGGCUGGUGAGUCUGUUGAAUUAAGUCUUUUUUGGUGGGACCUGUUGGAUUGAAUCUACUUUAAUGUUUUUGUAACUUGUUUCUUUGUAUGGGAUGAGUGUGGUUGGACCCGGGUGUAAUAGGUGACCCAUUUUAGUUCAACUAAAACAAACUAAGUUCUAGUUUUGAACUCCUCAAAACGAUAUUUGGUUCAUUUAGUUGACCUAAGAUGGGGUCACCUAUUACCCAUGUGUCGACCCGCACCCGUCUCUUGCCAGUGCCAAUAAUUCGUCACAGGUUCAGGAUAUGAACAUAUACCCUUCAACUGACUAGUGUUUAGUUGUGUCCUUUGAACGAGUGUAUCAUGAAAAAACACUAGAAGUUUCCUGUAAGCAACGGCAUUGGAGCAUA
Molecule: non-coding RNA, 2307 nt
Organism: Oryza sativa Japonica Group (Japanese rice)
Lineage: Eukaryota; Viridiplantae; Streptophyta; Magnoliopsida; Poales; Poaceae
Source: RefSeq, a predicted model, not a curated record